CGAUUCACUGAGAGACACAGGCGAGUCAGAGUGAUAAACUGGAGAUUGAGGUGUGAAGCUAUGGCUUUCUGAGAAAAGAUCCAUGGCGGAUGUCUGUGAUAUCCAUUAAUGUCCAAACUAAUCAAACUAUAAUUCUCUGUAGGUUCAAAAAUUAUUUACUAAUACAGAAUUGAGCUAAAACAUUAACUGUCUACAAAGUAACCAUGUUUGUCUUUAAAAAAAUGUAAUGCCCUUUUCGGACGCGACUAGUUUUCUAAACUACGUUUGAGUUUCGAUUCUUAACACCUGACGACUGUGAUUUUCAUGUACGAAUUCGAACGGGACUAACAUAUCCGUGUUUAUUACAGAGGUGGGAAGGUCUGAUUUGUGCAUCUGGGCAUCAUUGCAUUGCAUUGCAUAUAGUCAUUCGGAUUGAUUACCAUUAAUAUUAUUACACAAUAAAUACUAAAUACUAAAUGGCUAGUAUAACAAAACCAUGUUAAUGUGUGGUUUCUUUAGUUUAACUUGUUUUCCUUUUUUGUUUGUUUGUUUUUGUUUUUUGUAGUAGGCUAAACCAGUGCGGUAAGAGCAUCUACGGUAAUUAACGUUGGCCAAAACACACGAGGAAACGCGUUGUGAAAAAAAAAAUUACCUCCUGUAAAACUAGUCCUGUCCGAAUAGGGCUUAAGUCUCUUUCUACCUGGAUCACUCAUAAAUUGUUUGUGUGUGAAACCUAAGUGUGUAAACUGACGUGAACAUUUUUCUUAUGAAGUCUAAUAUGUGGUCAUGUGACUGUAAUUUAGAUUUACAGCCUUGAUAAAAAAGGAGCUGUAUCAAAGUACAAGUUACAUCACCACGGUAAUGUAAGGUCUGCUCCUCUGUCUACUCAGGACAAUAUGCGUAUGAGUCAAUAUUUAUAGUCUCAUCAGAUCUGAGGAAAGAAAAAGUUAAUGACUACAUUUGACUUUGAUUGGCCAGUUAUGUAAAGACACCAUGAAACUGUUUGCAGUCACAUGAUUCUUUCCUAUAUAGACAUAUUUCCUGCUAAAACAGUACAUUUGGGUGGGACGAACUGAAGGGCCAUUAGGGUUUAGUCGCACUCAAUCUAGGCAAAUUGAACAAGUUUUGGAAGAAAGAAAGUCUUAAAGGCUGGGAACAGCAUGAGGGUCACUGUAGCCACCAGAUCUAGUCUGUAUCCAGAUCAGAUGGUCACUGUAAUCACCCAGAUCCAGCCCAGAUGGUGGAUGACCUCCACAAUCCUGAAAGACAGUGGAGACCAGGACAACUAGAUGAGCCCCAGAGACAGAUCCACAGUCAAGACCUUGUCUCCUAGACGGCCACCGGGACAAGACCACAGGAAACAGAUGAUUCUUCCACACAAUCUGACUUUGCUGCAGCCUGGAAUUGAACUGCUGGUUUCGUAUGGCCAGAGUAGAACUGACCACUUGACUGAGCCUGGUUUCUCCCAAAGUUUUUUCUCCAUUCUGUCACCGAUGGAGUUUUGGUUCCGUGCCACCAUUGUCUCCGGCUUGCUUAGUUGGGGACACUUCAUUUCCAGCGAAUUCGUUGACUUGAACUGAGCUGGAUGAUGACAUGAUUGUAUUUAAUAUUGAACUGCCUUUUUGCAUUAUACUGACACACUAUUUUACUAUUUAAUGCUGUUCAGUUGCUUUGUUACCAUCUGUAUUGUUAAAAGCACUAUUUAAGUAAAGGUGACUUGACUAGACUUGCAAUUGCAAUCAAACACACAAUGUGUCAUCAUUCUCUGAUAUGCAACACUACAAAAUAUCCUACAAUAAAUGUAUUAAAAAAACAACCCAGCUUCUUUAAUCAUUUCAGAACAAUACACAUUUCAUUGCUGUACAACAUGAGUGCUUUAUGCACUGUGACAAGGUCAGAUUGGUUGGUAUUGUAAAAUGUGCCAAAUUGUUGUUUGUCCACUGCUGAACUAAAAAGUGAGCUAAAUUCUGGGUUUGGAAGAGGAAUAGGGGAGGGGAGGUAAACUUCCUUUUGAGAAAUGGGGACUAUUGGUGGAAUGCAGCAAAAACAUCCUAGGAGCAGGCAGGGAACGGGGUGGAGGACUUGCUUUGUGUCCCGCUGUUACUUCCAUUGUUGACAUUUCCUUACAUUCAAAACGAUAUUGCGUGACCUUAAGACUGAGAUGUUGGAAGACAAGAAGAAUAAGUGACUUGAAUAGUUAAUAAAUAAGCAUGUGAGAAAGGCUUUUGUUAAUAUAUGCAUUCAUAUUUUUCUCUAUUUCUAUUUGCUACAUAACAAAACAAAAUGAACACUGCAAGCAAAGUUUUUUUUCUCUUUAUAGCAUCUGUUUGCUCCUGCUGAACUGCUUCAUCAUGACGCUCUGAAACAUUUGCUUCCAUCCAUUUCAAGUAGAGGAAUAACAGACAGGAAGGAGGAGAGGUAAAGAUGCAUUCCACUCAUCACAUACAGCAGCUGCCAGGAAAAGCUCUCAGUGUGAAAAAUGACAAGUGCAACGUGUGUAAAAGAAUGGGGUGGCCAGGAGAGAGGUGUGGGAAAGAUUUUCUGUCUUUACUGACACUUUUUCCCAUCAUCCCCGUCAGAGUCAAAUCAAAACAUUAUAAAAUUCUACCUGAAAAUUUGAAGAACAACAGAUGAAAAAGGUAAUAAUGCUUCCAGUUAAGACAUAAGAUAUGUCUACAUAUAUUUUUUUUUCUCAUAUGUCAUAACCAUCAAAGCUAUUUCCCAAAUUAAAAGCUGGGAUUCUAGUAAUGAUUUGUGAUUGGUCAUGGCAACAAUCAGUUACAACCAGCAAUCUCUAAAAUAAAAGGUUAUGAUUAUAAAUGAAACGAUUUUUAAAUUGAAGAGAAGGUUCCACAAAGAAUAAAGAACAAAGAUGCUGCAAAGAACAAUAGUAAA
Carassius gibelio (silver crucian carp) is the source of this 2874-nucleotide long non-coding RNA. RefSeq lists it as uncharacterized. NCBI's taxonomy places the organism in Eukaryota, Metazoa, Chordata, Actinopteri, Cypriniformes, Cyprinidae. The record is from RefSeq and is a predicted model, not a curated record. The transcript is spliced from 3 exons.